GGGGAUUGUGUGCUUGUGCUAUGAUGAUUACUUUUAUUUUUAAGAUACUAUACACUUUGAGGUGAUAGGCAUGUGCUAUGAUGAUUACUUUUACUUCUAAGAUACUAUACAAAUUCUAAGGCAAUAGAUACGUGCAUGUGCUUUGAUUUAGGCAAAAUGGCAUGUGCAGUGGUGAUUAGUCCUAUACCAUAGUGGUAUCUGAUUUUAAGUGCGGUAUGGCCGAAGAGAUCAUGCCAGCUAGUGAUCUAGUGUUCCCUGAACUUGAAGUUGUUUUUGUUGCUGUUGAGGAGCAUGGUGUUGGGGAUGUUGCUAUUGAGGAACAUGGUGCU
Molecule: long non-coding RNA, 329 nt
Filed under: Sorghum bicolor (sorghum)
Lineage: Eukaryota; Viridiplantae; Streptophyta; Magnoliopsida; Poales; Poaceae
Description: long non-coding RNA (SBIC_LNC005321)
Source: RNAcentral